RNAcentral lists this unclassified non-coding RNA (164 nucleotides) under uncultured Acremonium. RNAcentral describes it as "sequence contains ITS1". Lineage: Eukaryota; Fungi; Ascomycota. The record is from RNAcentral.
UCGAGUGUUACAACUCCCAAACCCUUUGUGAACCAUACCUACUGUUGCUUCGGCGGGACCGCCCCGGCGCCUCUGCGCGCCGGACCCAGGCACCCGCCGGGGGACCGAAACUCUUGAUUGUCUUAGUGGUAUUCUCUCUGAGUGGCACAAGCAAAAUAAAAUUA